AAGGUCAGAUGUCCCUGGGCCCCCAUGCCCUGUUGUCUAUGGACUGGACAUGAUGGGACAGGAACAGGGCCUCGGGGACAACAGUGGAUCAGAGCUGACCCUUCCCCUCCUGGUACACUCCUGGGAUGUCACCUAGGAAGCACAGAAGAGAUCCAGCAGACACUGACCACACGCUUGCACGUGCAGACGGGCGUGACGCCCUCUUCUUCUUGCACUCACCCCCGCCCCCCGGGAAGCCGGUGCUGCCGCCCCAUUCUACAGGCUCUGGGCCCCAUCUCCCGACUCAAGCCACCUCGCCAUCACAGACCCCAGGCAGGAGCAGAACCUUCAGGAAGGCUCGAGUGACCCUCCACGGCUGAGAGCCCCACUGCCCGACGAUGUCCGGGCGCGUCCCGCUGGCCUGUCCAUGGCAGGACCCAUGUAACCUGCCCAAAGCAACACGGCUAGUUAAAAGUUUUAUUGAUUGAACACAAUUGCAUGUAAGUGGUAACAGUUCUCCUGAUGUAACCCACUUUUUCUUAAUGGGUAAUCUCAGACACUUGAGUUUGUAUGUUAAAGGAGCUUUAGGACAAUUUAAUAGCUCAUAAAAUUUUAUA
This is a long non-coding RNA of Ailuropoda melanoleuca (giant panda), 596 nucleotides long. RefSeq lists it as uncharacterized. NCBI's taxonomy places the organism in Eukaryota, Metazoa, Chordata, Mammalia, Carnivora, Ursidae. The transcript has 3 exons. The record is from RefSeq and is a predicted model, not a curated record.